This is a long non-coding RNA of Neofelis nebulosa (Clouded leopard), 2927 nucleotides long. RefSeq lists it as uncharacterized. The record is from RefSeq and is a predicted model, not a curated record. Lineage: Eukaryota; Metazoa; Chordata; Mammalia; Carnivora; Felidae. The transcript is spliced from 4 exons.
GUUCCAGACAUGUGUAAAGCCCUUAGAUGGGAAGAAGCAAGGCAAAAUUAGAGGCUGAAAGAAGGCUAGUGAGUGAUACCGGCAAGAGCUGAAAUUUAAGAGGAAGAGGCAUGAUGAUGCAGGACUGUAUAAAAAAAAGUAAUCGGUCUGGAUUUUAUUCUACUGACAUGGGAAACCACUGAAGGAUUUUUCAGCAGUUUGGUUUGUACUCACAAACCAUAGCUAAAGUGGAACUUACAAGUUGAAGUCCAACCAGUACCAGAAUUUGAUUGCAAGCAAUGAAAACAAACUCUGCCUAAUUAAACAGAGAAGAAAUUUGUUGGAAGAAUACAGGCUAGCUCACAGAAUCAAAAGGAAAGCUGCUGAGCAGCCCCAGGAAUGGCAGACCUAGAGCAGUUCUAGGGAUUAGGUAAAAAGGAUCAGGACAAUGUCUGCAGGAAGCUCACUGGAGUGAAUCUACACCCUGUCUCAGCAACAUUCUGCUCAGGAUCCAGAUUCCCAGAAUGAGAGUUCACAAGGCCACCCCUUGACUGGGACAUUCUGAACAUCUUCAUUGAAAUUAUGACGAAGAAGGCAGGGAGUUGGAAAGACAUAGAUCUCCAGAGCCCUUAAUCUCAGAUCAGUCGUGAGAAAGACAUCAAACAAAUCCAAAUGGGGGACAUUCUGCAAAAUAACUCACCAGUACUCCUCAAAACUAUAAAGGUCAUCAAAAACAAGGAAACUCUGAGAAAUUGUCAUAGCCAAGAGGAGCCUGAGGAGAUAAUGACAACUAAAUGCAAUCUAGUAUCCUGGAUGAGAUCCUGGAAUAGAAAAAGAACAUCAGCAAUGUGAACAAACCAAACCGUCGAACACUGAACCAGUGGAAAAUGAAUGUACUUCCAAAAUCAUUUCCCUGACCCACUGCAAACAGCUUGAUCACAUUGGAGAAUGUGACCCAUGCGGUUGCUGAAGCGUGUUUUCCCACUGUACCUCAUGCAGAAAAAUCAAACUAAGAGUAAUCUUGAAAUGUCACUUCACAAACAAACUGAAGAAACUGGAAGAGAUAAACUAGGAUUUCCCCUGGUGGGCCAUGGCAGAGUGGUAGUGGGUACCUGGGAGAGCCCUAGAAACUUGGGGGGAGGGUCAAAGACCAGGACCUGGUGCUGAGCUUCAAGGAAUGAAUCUUCCUAGAGCGUUCCCACUGGUGAAUCAGGAUACCAUCUGCAUAUGUCAUCAAGUGGCUCGCGUCCCACCUUUGCCAAAUAUAUUAGAUUUUUAUUGUUGCAGUAACAAAUCUCCAUACGCUGAGUGGAUUAAAGCAUCACAAAUUUAUUUUUACAGUUCUGGAGGUCAAAAGUCCAGUAAGGAUCUCACUAGAUUAACAUAGAUGCGUCAGCCGAGCUGUGUCUGCUUUUGGAGGUUAGCAUAGCAGGUGGAGUCUCUCUCUUGUAACAAGUUUCACUGACUCUUUUCUCACCAUACCUUUUUCUCUGACCACCUUUGGAAAAGGUCUCUGCUUUUAAGGAUUCGUGUGAUUAGAUGGGGCCCACCUGGCUAUUUCAGGAUGAUUUCCCCAUCUCAAGGUCUAUAACCUUAAUCAUAUCUGCAAAGUACCCUUGUUAUGUAAGGUAACUCACAGAUUUGGGGGGACAGGAAAUAGGUUUUUUAGGGGGUCAUUAUCCUGCCUACCACACCAAGUGAAGAAAGAGUAGGAUAAUCUUUAUCUUUCUGGCCUCCACCUUCCUGAUCUUAACCCACGCUGACUGGAUCUGGGCCUACUACCAUACAUUCCAACAUAUUCUAACACUACCCCCUUCUUAUUGCUUAGUUUUAUUUAGCUCACUGGCUUGAAAACCAUACCAUCUAUGAUUUCCCUUAUUAUCCUCAACAAUAUCUAGGAUGUGGAAAAUGUAUAAGAAAUAAUGUGCUUUUUGUGUUAACUGUAAAAAUAUGUGUUAAUUCUCAGUAACAAUCUUGCAUCUACACAUCAGUUGUCUCUUGGGGUAGGGGCCUAAAUUUUUUUCCAAAAGAAACAUACGCAUUAAAACAGCAGUAUGAGAUGGUCAUAAUAUACUUAACAAUGGCAACCAGUUUGGAUUCUUUGAAUAAAUAAAACUGUGAAUAGAUGGGUUUCUUUAGAUGAGGACCUUUAGAGAACUCCCACCUUCCUUUUAGUCUGUGCCCUGUGUAGCGUCAGGAGGACAGAAGAUUAUUGUAUUGUGUUCUUAGGACCAAAUGAAUAAACAUCAUUUGCCUAUUAAAAAUUACGGUAUUUUAUUUUUAAAGAACUGCGCUGGGGGCGCCUCGCUGGCUUAGUCAGAACAGCAUUGAUUCUUGAUGCCAGGGUCGUAAAUUCAAGCCUCAUGUUGGAUAUAGAGAUAAAUAAAUGAAUAAAUAAAAACUUAAUAAAAUUGUUUAAAAUUUUUCAGUUUUUCUGUGCUGACAGCUCAGAGCCUGAAGCCUGCUUCAGAUUCUGUCUCUGUCUCUCUCUUCCCCUCCCCCACUCAUGCUCUUUUUUCUCUCUCAAAAAUAAAUAAAAACAAAAAAUAAAAUAAAACAAAAUUCAGCUUAAAAAAAGAACUAUGCUAAUACAAGUUUUGAAGUAGAGGAUAUGUAUCUUGGUUACAAUUUUACCGAUGAAUGAAAUUAAGUUUUUUUACAUUAUAUAAAUUGAAGACAAAAUUGAAUUUACCUUGAUGUUAAUUAAGCUUAAGCUUCAAGUCCCCUAAUUUUGUAAUAGUAGUAUUUGAUCAUAGUUUUCUAAAGACGAUCAAAAAUGCAUAGGUUUAGGACCCCAUAAAACUUGGGUCCACCACUGACUAGAGCACUUUCCUGUUUGAAUUGCCUAAAUGUUUAAUAAUAAUAUUUCUUUAAAAUAAAUAUAUUUGGUCAUAUUAUUUUGCUAUUUUCUAUAUCUUAGGUGUGAUAGACUAUUUGUUCACAAUUGU